UUAAGGAACUAGGCAAAUUAAUUUUCCGCCUGUUUAAUAAAAACAUGUCUUUUUGGUUAUUAUUUAAAGUCCGACCUGCCCAAUGAUUAAUUUAAUGGCCGCGGUAUUUUGACCGUGCAAAGGUAGCAUAAUCAUUAGUUUUUUAAUUGAAAGCUGGAAUGAAUGGUUCGACGAGAAAAUAUCUGUCUUAAAUUAAUAGGUUUGAAUUUUAUUUUUGAGUGAAAAAGCUCAAAUUUUCAUAAGGGACGAGAAGACCCUAUAGAAUUUUAUUGUUUUACUAGAAUAGGUAAGGUUUAGAAUUUUUAGUUCUGUAUUAGUAAUACAAUUUUGUUGGGGCGAUGAAAAAAUUUGAUUAACUUUUUUUUUACUUAGACACUAAUUUGUGAAUAAUUGAUCCAUUGUUAAUGAUUAUAAGAGUAAAUUACCUUAGGGAUAACAGCGUUAUUAAUUUGGAGAGUUCUUAUCGAUAAAUUAGUUUGCGACCUCGAUGUUGGAUUAAAAUAAACUUUUGGUGUAAGGGCUGAAAUGUUAAGUCUGUUCGACUUUUAAAAUUUUACAUGAUCUGAGUUUAAACCGGCGUGAGCCAGGUUGGUUUCUAUCUUU
Molecule: ribosomal RNA, 603 nt
Filed under: Prismognathus davidis nigerrimus
Lineage: Eukaryota; Metazoa; Arthropoda; Insecta; Coleoptera; Lucanidae
Description: partial 16S ribosomal RNA
Rfam family: Archaeal large subunit ribosomal RNA
Source: RNAcentral